AAAAGAAAAAGGCAAACUUAUCGAAAGGUAAGGACGCAAAGCUAUGGGUCUAAGGAGUAUAAUUUCUAUGAUCGCCAAGUUGCCGGG
Molecule: non-coding RNA, 87 nt
Filed under: Geosporobacter ferrireducens
Lineage: Bacteria; Bacillati; Bacillota; Clostridia; Peptostreptococcales; Thermotaleaceae
Description: c-di-GMP sequence
Rfam family: c-di-GMP-I riboswitch aptamer
About the family: GEMM was predicted in a large-scale screen for bacterial structured RNA regulatory elements. Genes associated with GEMM are involved in a diverse array of functions, including chemotaxis regulation, signal transduction, secretion and chitin.
Source: Rfam by way of RNAcentral